GAUGAAGAACGUAGCGAAAUGCGAUAAGUAAUGAGAAUUGCAGAAUUCAGUGAAUCAUCGAAUCUUUGAACGCACAUUGCGCCCGCCAGUAUUCUGGCGGGCAUGCCUGUUCGAGCGUCAUUACAACCCUCAGGCCCCCGGGCCUGGCGUUGGGGAUCGGCGGAGCCCCCCGUGGGCACACGCCGUCCCCCAAAUACAGUGGCGGUCCCGCCGCAGCUUCCAUCGCGUAGUAGCUAACACCUCGCGACUGGAGAGCGGCGCGGCCACGCCGUAAAACACCCAACUCUUCUGAAGUUGACCUCGAAUCAGGUAGGAAUACCCGCUGAACUUAAGCAUAUCAAUAAGCGGAGGA
This 352-nucleotide unclassified non-coding RNA is filed under the name soil metagenome. RNAcentral describes it as "partial contains 5.8S ribosomal RNA, internal transcribed spacer 2, and large subunit ribosomal RNA". The stretch from base 1 to 120 matches the Rfam family "5.8S ribosomal RNA", at positions 35 to 154 of the family's 154-position model. The record is from RNAcentral.